This is a long non-coding RNA of Phascolarctos cinereus (koala), 2229 nucleotides long. The record is from Ensembl. NCBI's taxonomy places the organism in Eukaryota, Metazoa, Chordata, Mammalia, Diprotodontia, Phascolarctidae.
AUGAAGAAGAGGAGGGAGCCUGUCAGUGAAGGAGCGGAGAGUGCAUGGACACUGUCCAGGGGCCUGCAGGACCUUCUGACCUGCCCCGCCUGUGGAGGCUUCUUCAGUGACCCUGUAACAGAGCAUUCUGGUGACACCUUCUGCCGGGAUUGCCUUCCUCAGAAAUCCCAGCCUGCGUACCUCCAUACCAACUGGAAGAUGCAGAACCUGGUACGGCUGGCCAAGCAGCUCCUUGAGGAGCCCCAGGCCACUCUAGAGGGAUGGUGUGCCAAGCACCAGGAAAACUGGAGCUUUUUCUGUAGAGAAGACAAUGAGAAAAUCUGCCUAGUGUGCCACUACUCCAUCCUUCACCAGGGCCACACCCUGACCCAGCUGCAAGAUCUAGACACAAAACAAGAGGCAAGUCGGCUUCUAGGACAAAGUCAAGGUGCCUAAAUUGUGGUUUGCAGGAGAAAGAAGAAGUCUCUAGGGGCACUGGGAACUCCCAGGGAAGUCCUCUGGAAAAUCUUCCCCCUCUGGGUCCUUUCCACAGGCUGGCCUCCAGGCCUCCAAGACAUUCCCUCUGCACUCCAGCUGCUUGGAAUCUCAGCCCCUUUCCAGACUGCUCUCCUGUCAUCUGUCAGGGAAAUCCCUCCCUCAUCCUUUACUCUUACUCCUCCAGGUCCAUGCUUUGAAAUGAUCUCUAUCCAUGUUGGAUCUCCCCAUGUUCCUUGAGGGCAGAGGCUUGCAGGAACUUUUGGAAGCUCAGCACCCUCAGCCAGUGCUUGGCACUUAGGAAGCUGUUCAUCAGUGCUCCUUGAACUGAGUUGCUCUUAUCCUCUCUAUCCCUGCCAGGGUGCUUCUGAAGAAGAGGGCGAGACGGCCUCCAGAUCUCUGAACCACUGAAUUCUCUUCCCCGGGUCUUUCCAUGGGGUAGAACACUGGGCCCAAAAGAACUCUGCCGUUACCUUCACCCGCACCCCCUCUGGAAUCCUCCUGGAAACUCAGAGUCGGUUAAUCACGGACACGUCUUUAAGGAAGGGAGCGUGCAGGAUGGAAGAAAUUUCAAGUUGAAGCCUGAGAGAAAUUGCCAUUUUACUAUUCUGAGGGUACCCCAAGAUUAACAUGUCUGUUUUCUGUGCGUUUCCUUACCAGGAAGGUGCACUGGACACAGACCAGAGUAGGAGCUGCAGGAAGCCCAGUCUUGCUCACUGUCCCCAGCUGACCUCGUUAAGCCGUGCACCCCAGGCCGGCCUGAACCCUCCAACAGAACGUCCUGCUUCUGUGCCUCACUUGUUCCUGGGAAGACUGGCCCUUCUGUUUCCUGACGCCUCCCCAGUCCUCCCCUUUGUGCUUGUCGAGCAGAAAUCUCCCCAGCUUGUCCUGGGUGGUGGGCUCCUUUCUACUGUGUAAUGCGGUGCCUCGGGACUAGGGUCUCCUUUUCCUCCUAAUACAACUUUUCUGCUUUCAGUCCGGCUUGGACUCUUCUUCAUUUAGAAGGGUGCACUUUGUUCCACUGCCCUGUUGACACUGUUAUAUUAAUAAGCAAUUAUUAAUUUAGGAUCCAGGCUUUUGCUCCUUGGCUUCCCAUUUCAGGCCCAACCCCUGUAAAAAGUCAAUCUCUGAAGGACAGGAUUUAGAUCUCCUAGCCCUCAAGGUACAUGGGCAUUAAUGCUGGGCAAGACGCCACCCAGGGAGGAGACCUUACUCAUGUUUAGACUAUAAAUAGAAUCCAGGCUGGGCACGUUUUUGCCUGAAGAAGAACAGCCCCUGUCCUUGUACCCCUACAUUAGAAUUUAGGGUGACUCAGCUCAUGAAAGAGAAAACCAAUCUGAGUGGUCUGGAUAGAGGUGGCUGAGUCUCAUGGUCAAGCCAAGUUCUCAGCAGGAGGAGCUGAAGCCUAGUCUAGCCCAGCUCCCCAUUAAAUGUCCACCAAUCAGGGUUGAGUUUCAUUUGUGAAGGGAAUUCCCUUUCCUGGAUUACUUACACACCUUUCAAGCUCUCCAUGUUUUCUCUUUGGUUGUGGAGAGAAACCACUGAUCAGUUUAUGAGCAGAUAUCCUAAUAAGUUGAUUAUUUAAUACCAAGAACUGUCUGUGUGGGUUUUUCACUCCUGACAGGGUUCUUAGCAGCCUAGACUGUGAUGCUGAUUCAGCCUGAAACCUAGUGGUCCUUCUUGUUUGUAGCGUGAAGAAUUUUUACCUUGUAGUCACCUAAUAAAGUAUACUCUUCUCUUGUCUGCUGGAUGGUG